CCAUUCCUUAGCUCAGGAUGGCAUCCAAGCCUCAGGUGCCCAGCUUGUCCUUGGGUCUCAUUGCCUUUGUGGGGCCCCCUGUACAUAAGUAAUUAAAUUUGUUUUCCUCCUGUUAAUCUGUUUUAUGUUAAUUCGAUUAUUAGACCAGCCAAAGAACAUAGAAGGGUAGAAGGAAAAAUUUUUCCUUCCCUACAGCUGGCGUAGCUGGCAGGAUAAACUUCACUAGCUGGGCACUGCUCACUCUGAGGCUGCUGCAGCUGAGAGAUCCUGGGACCUCUGACAAGUGCUGGCAGAAGGUAAGAAUCCUUACCAUGUCAGUUUCCUGGAUCUCUACCUGCCAAGUCUGGUAGAAAUGAGAAUGGUGAGAGACCUUUCUUUUUCUAAAUUUAGAUUAGCAGGAGAAAAUAUUUGUGGGCUAGUUCCUUGGGCAUAGUGACUCUGGUAAAGAUUUGGUAAUGAGUGCUCCUGUUUUCUAUCGAUACUUUUUCCUCCCAGAGAUGGCCAUUGUUUUCUUUUGUCUACUUUAUGAUCAGUGAGAAUAUUCUCUCUGGUCUCUGCCAGCUGGAGGAUGCAUACGCAUCUGGUGGGCAGCUGAAUAGACUGUGGAUCUGAGUUUAGGGAAUCUGAAAAAAAAGUGAACUUUUGGCUUGGACACAAUUGGAAGCAUUGGUUAUAUUACUAAAGCUUUGACUGGAACGUCAUAUUUGAGAGAGACAUGCAUAGACUCAGAUAUGACCAGGAAGCUUUAAGGAACUAAGUUUGACUUUCUGGAGCCAAUAAAGCCCCUUGGAAAAAUCAGCCUGGUACUUUGCUUACAAGGUUCCCAGUAAUCUUGACAGGUGAGUAAUGAAGGUCACUUCCUGGCAGGCACAGGAACAUCAAGAUAUUUUGGUGACCUUGGGAAGUCACCCAAAUCUAUAAGUAUUGCAGACAAAGUCUGAUGGUGAGACCUUGGCUUUGCAUCUUAACCUCAAGAGGUUUUUAAAAAGUCCAAUCUGAGAUUCCUUAUGAAAAAUUCCAGCAGAGCAGAUUAUAAGAUUCUAUAUGGUCAAUCAUUAUUCUUGCUGCAUUUAUGUAAAUAAUCAGGGCAAUCUUAUUGAAACUAGACUUAAUUUGCAAACAAAUUAGUCUUACUAUGGUUAUCUUUGAUAGAAUUGGGAUGAUUGUAGAGAGAAAAAUUAUGUUUCAAUAAUAUAUCUUUGUGGAAAUUGGAUUCUAAUACUGUUAAUUGUCUUUGGGGUUUUGUUAUAUACCUGUAAACUGGACUAGAUCCUGUAUUCUUCUAGUUUCCUCAAAUAUCUCGCUAUGAUUCUCUAAACUAAUGUUUCUAAUUUUUCUCCUUCUGACUUGGAAUCAUUGAAAACUAAAACUACCCUUUUUUCUGGAGCCAUGCAAGCUAAUGUUGGACAACUUGAUAUAAACUUUAGAGAAAUCACCACAACAGCUCAUGUAUGGACAAUCUUCAUGUCUGUUGCUGUGUGACCACUCAGAAAGAACACCAGAGAUUUUCAAACUGCAAACCAGGAAAAUCUAUCAGAUUGUCACUGCCUGUCCUCACUCCAUCUAAAGAUACUUCAAGCCAGAUAUCUAGAAAUCUUCUCAACUGGCUGCCUUCAGAACUCAGAAACUGGGAUUAUAAUAUGCUUCAAUUAUUAACUUUUGUUUUUCUUUCAUUUCCAUAGAAAUGCCUCUUAUUAAAUACUUGAUUGCUUGCAGCAUAAGCCUAACUUUGGAAGCCCACCUGCAUUAUUGCCUCCUGAAAUGAGACACAACUGUUUAACUGAACUGACUUAUUUUCAGGACUAAGAGACUUGUUCAGUGAGAUGGAGCCAUCUACCAACUCAACUUCUAGACUGUGAAACUUCUUGAGGAAGUUUCAAAGGUGAGACUUAAGGGGUUCAGAAUGAGCCUCCCCAGAAUGUGCCACUUUGGCAUGUGGACUAUUUUGAGAUGAAGGCAAUCAAGAUUCAGCAGAUUCAAGAUAAACUUUUAUCUCUCUCUUAACUACCUAAAAGAAUUUAGAUAGGGGGCCUGGCUCAAAGAGACAGCUAUUUCCAGAGAUAAUUUUAUCUUAAUGACCUAUCUGUAUGGCAGGACAAACAUCUAAUUACCAAACAUCUGCCCUUCUUAUUGUCCCGUGAAUUACUCUCCUCCCCUCUUUGGCACCCCAGGCUCCUAUCCCAUUCCUUAGCUCAGGAUGGCAUCUAAGCCUCAAUUGCCCAACUUGUCCUUGGGGUUCACUGUCUUUGUGGGGCCCCAUACAUACCUAAUUAAAUUUGUUUUUCUUCUGUCAAUCUGUCUGCCAAAAAAGAGGGUGCUUGUUGAGGGACUGCUCAGAUUUUCCAGUUUUUUCUUCUCCAGGUGUUUGGAAGCAGGACUGGGAUGGAAUUCAACUUGUAUCUUGGAUAAUUCACCAAGAGAGGAGCCCCAAGAAAGGAACAGGGCAUUUUAAAAAUCUGGGUAUGUGGACCCUCAAGCAGUUAAUUUGAAUAUAUAAAUGACUUGAAGGGGAGCAGAAUUUGCCAUCCCAAAAUAUGUCUCUUUGGCAUAAGAAUUAUUUUAGGUUGAUUAUUUUUAAGAAAUAGCAUAUAUAGGAAAAGCUCUGAAAACUGAGUAGAAGUUACACUUUUCUAAGAGACAUUUACAUUUAUAAGGAAAAUCUCCAUUUGUGAGGGUGUCUCUCUCUGCACCCGGAAGAGAAGGCUGACUCUAAAUCUCUAGAAACUCUUAUCAAUGGAG
Long non-coding RNA from Equus caballus (horse), 2739 nucleotides. NCBI's taxonomy places the organism in Eukaryota, Metazoa, Chordata, Mammalia, Perissodactyla, Equidae. The record is from Ensembl.